Molecule: transfer RNA, 64 nt
Filed under: Vespa basalis
Lineage: Eukaryota; Metazoa; Arthropoda; Insecta; Hymenoptera; Vespidae
Description: tRNA-Cys
Source: RNAcentral
AUUUUAAUAGUUUAAUUAAAAAUAUUAAAUUGCAAAUUUAAAGAUAAUUUUAUAUUUUAAAAUU